RNAcentral lists this long non-coding RNA (862 nucleotides) under Marmota monax (woodchuck). Lineage: Eukaryota; Metazoa; Chordata; Mammalia; Rodentia; Sciuridae. The record is from RNAcentral.
CAUAAUUUUAAGAAAGCUCUCUUGCCUUAUGAUUUUAUUUGUUGUCCUUUUUUUUUAAUUGAAACCUUCCACCCAGUUUUCUGUUUAUUCUUUAUUUCUGAGAUCUGUUACUCAAAUAGAAUUAUUACAGUUUUCUUUUUUUUUCCCCUCAAGGAUUUAAUACUCAAGUCAGUUGGGUAUUCUUUGUGCUUCCAUGCAGCCUUCCCUAAAGUUUCUCAUAUUUACAUAUACAUUCCCUUAGUGCUAUUGUAGCCUUAUAGGACCCUUUACAUGCCUUUCACCUCACUUUCUUUGCAAUUAUUUGCCUCUUCUCCGGUUUAAGAAUGUUCCCAAAAGGCAGCAACUGUUUUUAAUUACCAAUAUGUUCCUCCUCCUGGUACAUUGUAAGAUAUUGAAUCUGUAUGCACAAUUGUAUACAAAAUGUGAGAAAUAAUAAGCUAACAUAACAUUUUUAAUAGUACUUUUGAAAAUUAAUGAUGUUCUAUAGAUGCCAGGGUAGCCUUCAAAUUUUUUAAUGUUCCAAAUACUUAAUUUUCAAUUGAUUUGUAGUUAUUAAUAAAAUACAUAUUUACAGAACCCAUUAAUAAUGUAUCAAUAUAAUUUUCUUAAGACUUUAUUCAUCAAUUCUUUAAGGAUUUUAAAUCUUAAUAGAAGGCAACUGCAGAUAAAUAUUAACUGAAGAGUUACUAGACAAUAUUUUUCAUAGACAUAAAUGAAGGAAAUUAUAAAAUUGCACAUAUUUAUUUUUAAAUUAUAGUUGGACACAAUACCUUUAUUUUAUUUAUUUAUUUUUAUGUGGUGCUUAGGAUCGAACCCAGGGCCUUGUACAUUUUAGGUCGGUGCUCUAGUGCUGAGCCACAAC